Molecule: long non-coding RNA, 902 nt
Filed under: Gadus morhua (Atlantic cod)
Lineage: Eukaryota; Metazoa; Chordata; Actinopteri; Gadiformes; Gadidae
Description: lncRNA (ENSGMOG00000025600.1)
Source: RNAcentral
GUAGAUUGUAUAUUGUGUCAUCUUGCCUCUAUUCAAUAUUCAAGACAUCAUUUUGAAAUAACCCUGCAUACAUUCCAGCAUCUUGCCCAAGACAACACACCUGUAUACCCAACAGAAGGAUGCAAUGUCACAAUAAUGAUCUGAAUGAAUUUCUCAACAUGACCGACGUCAGAGUGGCGUUCACUAUUUAAGACGGAGACUCCAGUCCAAGCUUCAUCAAACUCAUCCAGCUGUGGACUCGAUCAACUGCUGGGACAAUAAUCAAGUGAAAUCAUGAUGAAGAUACUGGUACUGCUUGGAUGUCUCCUGAGUCUGGCUCUGGCUCUUCCAGUGGACGAAGUGCAUGAGAGAAUUGCUCGUUCUUCCUCUGACUCCAAUUCCAGAGAGAUGGGGCGGUAUCCGUCAUUCUACCCACCGUAUCCCCGGUUCCCCCCACCACCACCACCAACACAGAACCAGGCCGACCUAUGGGCCUUGUUCCUGCAAUUCCUGCUGGCUAACUCCCCCCCGGCCCCGCCUCCAGUUCCGACCUAAAGACCCUAAAAUCAGUUUGUUAUCCUCUGUAUGACUUCUAUAAUAAAUCAUGCAUGACAAUAAGAAAUGUGUCGGUGGUAUUUGGUCGUAUGCUCCUGCCCUUCCUCCUGCUGGUUGCCUUGCCCAGCGCUGCACCAGCGACCGCAGCCACUACCGCUGAGACCUACUGCUGAAGUUGCCAUAUUUGGUACUUUGAUUUGCACCAAUAAUUCUUAAUACUUACAAAGUGUUUGUUCAUCUAAGGAGCAUGGCUAAUAAAUCUUUUGACAAAAAUAAGAAAUCCUUUUUUAAAAUCACCAAUUAAUCAGAAUUUCUUUCACAAUGCGUCAUCAAAACGUAGAAGAUAAACGAUGAAUACUGACUAUACA